Non-coding RNA from Pelobates cultripes (western spadefoot toad), 404 nucleotides. The record is from the annotation of a GenBank genome assembly. NCBI's taxonomy places the organism in Eukaryota, Metazoa, Chordata, Amphibia, Anura, Pelobatidae.
GAGAGAGUUCUUCUGUCCAGGUUUGUCCUUUAUAUUGAGAGGUUAUAAUGUGAACCGCAUGUUCUCUUUGUAAACCUAUUUUUUUUUCUUCUUCUAACCUCCCCCCUUAAUAGCUUAUCUCCCUUAAUACAACAUCUGGAGUAACACAGCGAGUAAUGGGAGCCCUUGUGUCUGACCCUGUAGCGAUGCGGGGGGUUUGGGCCUGCUCCCCGGAAUCCGGAGCUGACUCACAGCCGGCUGCUGCAUCUGUGCGCCUCUGUUCCCAGCCAAGAUGGAGGAAUCCAUCCAGUUUGGCUGGAUGCCCUACACAACAGAGCUGAUGAGCCAAACAGCUGUUUCUCUGCUAGCUCUAUGUUCGGAGAGCCGUCUCACUGCGGUUUUACAUGCACAAAAGCAGUGUGGAG